CACGUAAGUUGCGAGCGUUGUUCGGAAUUAUUGGGCGUAAAGGGCAUGUAGGCGGUCAUGCAAGUCUGGUGUGAAAUGCCGGGGCUCAACCCCGGAACUGCGUUGGAAACUGCGUGACUGGAGUCACUGAGGGGCAGGCAGAAUUCCAGGUGUAGGGGUGAAAUCUGUAGAUAUCUGGAAGAAUACCAAUGGCGAAGGCAGCCUGCCAGCAGAUGACUGACGCUGAGGUGCGAAGGUGCGGGGAGCAAAC
This 250-nucleotide ribosomal RNA is filed under the name uncultured prokaryote. Its description in RNAcentral is "partial 16S ribosomal RNA". It matches the Rfam family "Bacterial small subunit ribosomal RNA", at positions 524 to 773 of the family's 1533-position model. The record is from RNAcentral.